GCGGCCUAUCAGCUUGUUGGUGAGGUAAAGGCUCACCAAGGCGACGACGGGUAGCCGGCCUGAGAGGGCGACCGGCCACACUGGGACUGAGACACGGCCCAGACUCCUACGGGAGGCAGCAGUAGGGAAUAUUGGGCAAUGGGCGAAAGCCUGACCCAGCGACGCCGCGUGAGGGAUGAAGGUCUUCGGAUUGUAAACCUCUUUCAGUAGGGAAGAAGCGAAAGUGACGGUACCUAAAGAAGAAGCACCGGCUAACUAUGUGCCAGCAGCCGCGGUAAUACAUAGGGUGCAAGCGUUGUCCGGAAUUAUUGGGCGUAAAGAGCUCGUAGGUCGUUUGUCGCGUCGAUUGUGAAAAUCUGAGGCUCAACCUCAGACCUGCAGUCGAUACGGGCGAGCUAGAGUGUGGUAGGGGAGACUGGAAUUCCU
Molecule: ribosomal RNA, 426 nt
Filed under: uncultured Actinomycetes bacterium
Lineage: Bacteria; Bacillati; Actinomycetota; Actinomycetes
Description: bacterial SSU rRNA
Rfam family: Bacterial small subunit ribosomal RNA
Source: RNAcentral